RNAcentral lists this ribosomal RNA (319 nucleotides) under uncultured Actinomycetes bacterium. RNAcentral describes it as "bacterial SSU rRNA". It matches the Rfam family "Bacterial small subunit ribosomal RNA", at positions 28 to 351 of the family's 1533-position model. Lineage: Bacteria; Bacillati; Actinomycetota; Actinomycetes. The record is from RNAcentral.
GACGAACGCUGGCGGCGUGCUUAACACAUGCAAGUCGAGCGGUAAGGCCUUUCGGGGUACACGAGCGGCGAACGGGUGAGUAACACGUGGGUGAUCUGCCCUGCACUCUGGGAUAAGCCUGGGAAACUGGGUCUAAUACCGGAUAUGACUCCAGCAUGCAUGUGCUGGGGUGGAAAGCUUUUGUGGUGCAGGAUGGGCCCGCGGCCUAUCAGCUUGUUGGUGGGGUAAUGGCCUACCAAGGCGACGAUCCCUAGCUGGUCUGAGAGGACGAUCAGCCACACUGGGACUGAGACACGGCCCAGACACCUACGGGAGGCUG